GAAUAUUGUACAAUGGAGGAAACUCUGAUGCAGCAACGCCGCGUGGAGGAUGACGCAUCUCGGUGUGUAAACUCCUUUUAUGAGUCAAGAAAAUGACGGUAGCUCAUGAAUAAGCACCGGCUAACUCCGUGCCAGCAGCCGCGGUAAUACGGGGGGUGCAAGCGUUACUCGGAAUCACUGGGCGUAAAGGACGCGUAGGCGGUCUAGCAAGUCAGGUGUGAAAGCCUAUGGCUCAACCAUAGAAUUGCACUUGAAACUGUUAGACUAGAGUAUGGGAGGGGCAGAUGGAAUUAGUGGUGUAGGGGUAAAAUCCGUAGAUAUCACUAGGAAUACCAAAAGCGAAGGCGAUCUGCUGGAACAUUACUGACGCUAAGGCGUGAAAGCGUGGGGAGCAAACAG
This 399-nucleotide ribosomal RNA is filed under the name uncultured bacterium. RNAcentral's name for it is "bacterial SSU rRNA". It matches the Rfam family "Bacterial small subunit ribosomal RNA", at positions 359 to 775 of the family's 1533-position model. The record is from RNAcentral.